UCACUUUACCUCUACCUGCCUCAGUUUCCUUACCUAUAAAAUGGGAAUAAUAAUCAUGCCUGCCUCUGUAGGGUGGUUGUGGAGAUCAAAUGAGAUCAUAUUUGUAGAGGUCUGCAAACCUCGAAGCACUACAGAGAUCUGAGCUCUUAGUAACUAUGGUUCCCAAGCCCCUUCGGAGAAACUCCACAGCUGAGUCAGCUCUGUGUCGGAUCAGAGGCCCCCGGAUCUAAUAGGGAACUCAGGGGUCACUGAAUCCAACCCCUUAUUUCACAGAUGGGGAAACUGAGGCCCAGAGGUGACAUAGGCAGUGUGUCAGAGAUGGGAUGUGACUAGAGGCCCCUGGAUCUAAUAGGGAACUCAGGGGUCACUGAAUCCAACCGCUUAUUUCACAGAUGGGGAAACUGAGGCCCAGAGGCGACAUAGGCAGUGUGUCAGAGAUGGGAUGUGACUAGAGGCCUCUGCCAGGGCCUCAGUGUGACUGGCCGACUCUGGCAAGCCUCCCUCCUUCUCUACCCUGAGUCUGUCACCCGUAGCCUCCUGGUUAACAAGGGGAAUGAGCCUCAGGAUACAAAUUCCAGGAACUCCUCUGGGAGACUGGCUUUCCAGCCCCAGUAAGGAUUCCUCUGAAGGGCCAGAUCCGAGGCAAGGGGUGGGGGAAGGCUGGAGGGCCUUCUGAGAUAAAGGCAACGCCCAGUGAGGGGUGGGGGAAGAGGAGGAGAGGUGACCGUGAAUUCUCCAUGGGACACGGACUGGAACUCCUCUCUCCCAAAGAGGGGAGAUUACAGGUUUUCACAACAGAAGGGAUCCUUGUCCUUCCUCAAUCUUUGUCCAUGGCCAGCGGAAGACAUCACAAAAAGAAGCUGGCACAGAGCAGGAAAAAAAAGCCCCUCCCUGUAAGGGCCGGGGGUCUCCAGCGAGGACACCUGUUACUCUCCAUGGAGCAUUGCACCCCAAAUUGCAGGUCUGAAGAAGCAGCCUCCCCCCAGGCUGCAGUGGGUGUUUCUUAGGAGGGGGUUUUGAGAGCUGAGCUUCUUGGGUCCUGGAGGAAGAUUUUCAAACCACCCAGAAACCUGAGACGUUUGUGUCCUGAGAGAGCCCUCUUUGAGAUGCCCAGAGGAGGGAUGGGCCUCGCACCAGGAUGGGGGAAGGGGGUACUUGGUGGCAAUCUCAUCUGCAGGGACUCUUUCCCGGACAAGUGGGCUCUGCUUUUUUAUUCUGAAUUAUACAAAUGACUUGGUUAGAGGUCAUCUUAAGCGCUACUUAGUCCAAGGAGACCUUCCCUGUGGCCCUUCUGGGCCCUCCAGCCUCUGUGGCUAGGCAAGGCUUUCAGAAGGCUCCAGUUCACAUACACAUCCAGACACCCAGACACCCACACACAUCACAGGCACACAUCACAGACACACAUCACAGACACACACACACAGAGACACCCAGACACACACACACAUACACACAUACACCAUUCCAACCUGAUUGCGGGUCCCCAGACUCAGGAUUCCAUUCCAGGCUCUGUCCCCCUUACACAGGCCUGGAAUCCAAGCAUCUUGGAAGGCUCAUCAGUGCCACCCUCUCCAGAAAGCCCUCCUGGAUCCCCAGCUCAUUACUUCUUUUCCCCUCCUUAUCUUGUGUUUUCGUAUCUACAAGGCCAUAUGCCCUGCAUUGCCCCCUAAGCCCUUCCACGAGGGUGGACUUUAUAUUGUCUUUGCUCUGUACCGGGCCCAGCAUGGCCCAGCGCCUCAUACACUGUAUUUGC
This is a non-coding RNA of Phascolarctos cinereus (koala), 1753 nucleotides long. The record is from RefSeq and is a predicted model, not a curated record. NCBI's taxonomy places the organism in Eukaryota, Metazoa, Chordata, Mammalia, Diprotodontia, Phascolarctidae.